Hippocampus comes (tiger tail seahorse) is the source of this 1246-nucleotide long non-coding RNA. RefSeq lists it as uncharacterized. The record is from RefSeq and is a predicted model, not a curated record. The transcript has 3 exons. NCBI's taxonomy places the organism in Eukaryota, Metazoa, Chordata, Actinopteri, Syngnathiformes, Syngnathidae.
GGAGGAGGAGGAGGAGCAGCAGCAGCAGCAGCGCAUCAAUAAAAGGAUGGUGGCAGAGCUGGAGCCCUUUCCAAAUGACUUUUGGCGAUACACACCGGACCGGCUGGCAGCUAAUCACAAUCACACCUACAGUUGCUAGGAAACACCGGAACUGGCGGCGGCGCUCGGCUUCCCUGAGCCACGGCGAACGAGGACGCGGGUGAGGCGACGAGGUCGGGAGGUUCGGAGCUGACAGUCAACGUUGAAAUGAACCGACUUCCAGCGGUUAUCACAACACACCCCUGUUCAAAGGCCGAGCUUGUGUGAUUAAAGAAAAUGAAAGCAGGUACAGUAUAUCAUAUAUCUUUAUUGUGACAUUUAGGGCUGUCUAAGAGCUUUUUGUCAUCUAGGAGUCACUUUUACGUUUUAUCACUGUUUCACACGACAAUUGUGUGUUUCUGUACUUUGUGCAUGGACUUGAAAUGUCAUCCAACUGUCGAAUGAUCCUUCUCUCACCUGAUACCUCAGCUCCAAACUCAUUGACACUCACUUUAAUGCCGGCUAAAAGUGGACACAUCAGCUGUGGGAAUCAGUCGGGCAUUGGCGUUCAACAGCUGCCCAUGCCCAUCAUGGAUGCCGGCCAUGUGUGUCGGUAUGGGCAGCAAGUGCUGCCCCAUGGAGCUCGGGAGCCAUUUGAAGAGCUGCUCAAGCUGAUUUUAAAUGUCACUCGUGUGAAUAUUACCUUUCCUUUUAGCUUGAGAUGAAAAAAGUUGGAAUGUCUCACCAACAGACGGCAGCCUCUCUGAGGGAGGGAAGGUGAUAUUGUCAUGGCAAAAAGGUGGCAGACACUUGCGUUGUGUUUACAGCGCUAAAAGGUGAAGAGGAUCAAGCCAAAUUUCACCAUCAUGGAAUUGUAAUGUGACAAGGAAUGGUAGUGAUAUUCUAAUAUCUAUCUUGCGACAUUGGCCCAUGACAAAAAUUAAAUUUUGUCUAGAAAAUAAAACAUACCGGUUAGGAGGAGGCUUCUACCGAGAGAGCAGAUUUAUAUAUGACUGGAGUGUGAAGAGGACCCUCGCAGCUGAAGCUAGAGGUCAGCCAUCUUCCGUUGCCCACCAGUAUUCACAACCUUUAUAUUUCACUGACACUUUUCAAUGAAUGUUUUAUGCUAGAAGGAAUUGGAGUCUCUCAAAAAACAAACUUGACUGUUUGCAUCGACUAUCGAGAGUAGAUUACCUCAGUACUGGGAAUUGUGAAUUAAGACAAUAAA